CAGCCGCCACGGGAAUACAGAGGGUGCGAGCGUUAAUCGGAUUUACUGGGCGUAAAGCGUGCGUAGGCGGCUUCUUAAGUCGGAUGUGAAAUCCCUGAGCUUAACUUAGGAAUUGCAUUCGAUACUGGGAAGCUAGAGUAUGGGAGAGGAUGGUAGAAUUCCAGGUGUAGCGGUGAAAUGCGUAGAGAUCUGGAGGAAUACCGAUGGCGAAGGCAGCCAUCUGGCCUAAUACUGACGCUGAGGUACGAAAGCAUGGGGAGCAAACAGGAUUAGAUACCCCUGUAGUCCCUGUCUCUUAUAC
RNAcentral lists this ribosomal RNA (301 nucleotides) under uncultured bacterium. Its description in RNAcentral is "partial 16S ribosomal RNA". It matches the Rfam family "Bacterial small subunit ribosomal RNA", at positions 509 to 807 of the family's 1533-position model. The record is from RNAcentral.